GCCAUUUUGUAACUGCGUAGAGGAUAUGAUGUGACGUCGUAGUUCUUAAUUUCACCAAGAAAAGAUGUGCUUGUGGUUGAAAUACCAAGAUGCAAACAAGCAAACAUUUUCAUGUGCUUGUUUGAUGGGAAAUCAAGCAUUUUAAUUAGUUGUGUCAAGACUUAAUGUCGGAUCUACACUCGAGCUUGCAAGAAGAAGAAGAAUGGAAUCAGGAAUUGUUGAGAAUAUGACACUCUGAGAUGUGUGGAAAGAUGUGCAGGGAGGCUGCCCGGUAUAGGGCCUCUUGCAUUGGCUGCUGAGAGACUCAAGCCCAUAAAGUACCAGAGAAGCUUUACUGUAGUGAAAUCUUUGUAAUCAUCAUCCUGCAAUACAGACGAGGUCUACAAAAGGGAUAUGACAAGACAAGCAAGCACAUAAGAAAAUGAGAUGAUGAAAAGCCUCUUCAGUUGUUUGUGUUCUGCUAAGAUGUUGCCUAGCAACAAGGGACGCUCAGUACUUUGAUAACAUCUUUAAGGUUAUGGCUCCUGAAUUGACGACAAAGCUUGCAGAGGAUUGGAUCCCAAUGGGAGAGACUGAAAGAGAACAGGUGAGGAGGGCGACUCCAGGAAUGUGCCCCCAUUACAAUUUAAGCUUGAGGCGGCCAUGGGCGCAAGUCUUUGUUGGACCACAACACUGCACUCCCAAAACUCAAGGCAUACAUGAAGGACAUUCACCAAUUAGGCGACUGCAAACAAGAUGGUGACUGGCAAAAACAGUGGCUCUUCAUUUUACAUCAAGAUUUUCGCAACAGCCACACACAGUCACUUCCAUCACAGUUGGAGAUGUGCAGUUAAACUCCUCAGAAGCCAGAAAUCUCUGUGCAGUCAUGGAUGAACAUCUAUCAUUGUCAUGCCUCGUUAACGAACUGGGAAGUUUGAUUGGUCGUCAACCAAUCACGUGAUGUACCACGGCUGCUGUCGCGGCGGGUAAUAUUAGUGAUGUUAACCGGUGUACAUUACCUUGAGCGUUUCAACCGUUGGUCGAUUUUCAGCGCUUAGUAUGAAACAUCCGCGGGCUCAAGGGAAAAGUGAAGAAUUGUAUUCAACUGUGUAAAAAUGUUUGAAGUUGACAACAAAACUUCGAGAAGAGGAAUAUUAAUGUUACCAAGGUAUUAUAAUAACAAAACAAUUGUUGCGCGCUGUAAUUGGGGCCCAUGGGUUUUAUACACCCUCGAGGGAAAAUUGCACCCCUGGCUUCGCCUUGUGGUCCAUUUUCCCCCCGCGGGUGUACAAAAUGCCAUGGACCACGUCACAGCGUGCAACAAUUGUACUGAAGGCCCCUGUCAACACCCUAUGCUCUUCAAUGACUGCCAUGCGAAAGAUGUUUUUUUAAAUUUAGAAAAUAUUGAUCCGCACAAUAACGUUGUACCUGGAAAUUGUUUGGUUUUUCUUUUUGCCCUCUUGAACUGACCCAACCCACCAGUUUGUUGAAGCAAAUUCAUGUCUGGUUGAAAAUGUUGAACCAUUUUAGCUCACAAAAUAAAUGGCAAACCUUACAGUUUUGAAGUACAUUAUCCACUACGUUUAUUCCACUACGUUAAAAUUUAUUCUGUCCAACCAGGUUCAUGUCAUAACUAUACACUACUUUCAAAACAUGUUGCCAACCAGAUAAUAACCAAAUCGUGAAUUACCUCACAUAGGGACAUGUUGGCUGUUUUUGGCUUUAGAAAGUGCCUGCUAUGAAAAGAUGGUUGUAAAUAUGUUCCAAAUUUAAGGAUCCACACUAGGCCUACCUAGAAAUUGUUUGGUUUUCUAUUUGCCCUCUUGAGCACGGUCUGCCAAUUCAAUAAAUACGUUUAUUCCAUACUCUUGUUUGAGAAAAAGAACAACUGCCUCAAAACCUCACAGUUCUGAGGCAUGUUAGUGUAAAUAUUGAUACCCUACAUUUAAAACAUAAUUCCAACCAGGGCCCCAAUUCAUAAAGCUGCUUGACAAAUUUCUUUGCUAAGUAAAGUUGCGUUGGGGCACCAGCUAAAACAGCGUGAAACUUAAUGUUAUUUUGGUUGGAAACUUGUUUCUGUUCAGCAAUACAUUUCUGUGCUAAGCAAGUCGCUUUGCUUCCAGACUUUAUUAAAUUGAAAUUUGAGAUCUGAGGAAUUUUAAAGGCAGUGGACACUAUUGGUAAUGGCUCAAAAUAGUUAUUGUCAUUAAACCUUUCUUGGU
This is a long non-coding RNA of Asterias rubens (European starfish), 2201 nucleotides long. RefSeq lists it as uncharacterized. Lineage: Eukaryota; Metazoa; Echinodermata; Asteroidea; Forcipulatida; Asteriidae. The record is from RefSeq and is a predicted model, not a curated record. The transcript has 5 exons.